Long non-coding RNA from Ochotona princeps (American pika), 689 nucleotides. RefSeq lists it as uncharacterized. The record is from RefSeq and is a predicted model, not a curated record. Lineage: Eukaryota; Metazoa; Chordata; Mammalia; Lagomorpha; Ochotonidae. The transcript has 5 exons.
GGAGCCGAGGGGAGGGGCGGACGCAGGGCCGCGGCCGGCCGCCGGAGCCCCGGGGUCACCGCCGACGCAUGCGCCGGGGCGCGCAAUCACGGCCCGGGCUGGCGGCCGGCGGCGUGAGGAAGGGAAGCGACCCGCGGAGGCGCGAGGCCGCCGAGGCAGAGCCCGGCCGUCACCACAGCCGCCGCCGCCACAGGCGCCGCCGCGUGCGCGCUCCCGAGCUGCUGAGAUGCAGGAGCUGGUCCUGUCCCACUGUAAGAUGCCUUUGGACAGUUCUACAGUCCCCUUAGGUGAAGCUUUGGAACUGGGCGAGUUUCACUAGAUCUCCACAGUCCUCACUUGGAGCGCAGAGUGUAGCAUACAUAUUAUCGAGUGCAUAAACCCUGAACAUCAUUUUGAUGAAUUUUUAUGAAGCCAACAGCUGUCUACUCAGGACAAGGAGUGCACGUUUUCAUCAGCCCAGGAAACUCCUUCGUUACCUAGAGUUAACUGCACACUCCCAAAGAAUCCUGAUUCUGUCAGUCAUACAGAAGAAUACCCUGAACCUUUAGUUUUCUGAAGAAUCAAUUCAAGAGAUCCAGAAAGGAUAAAAGGCAUGUCAGAAAACAGCGAUAGAAGCUUUAGAGCCUCCUGUUCUCAUAAUACUGAAUUUUAAAUUUUAAAUUAAAGUGAUAAUAGUUAAAUAGAAUUUC